AGAGCGCAAGGGGAAUGCCUUGGCAUCAGGAGCCGAUGAAGGACGUGACAAGCUGCGAAAAGCUUCGGGGAGCUGCAAAUGAGCAUUGAUCCGGAGAUAUCCGAAUGGGGAAACCCGGUACGGCAAUACCGUAUCAACGUGCUGUGAAUCAAAUAGCAGUACGUAGGGAACCGCCUGAACUGAAACAUCUAAGUAGGGCGAGGAAAAGACAUCAACCGAGAUUCCGUAAGUAGUGGCGAGCGAACACGGAGGAGGCCAAACCGGAGGAUUUAUUCUCCGGGGUUAGGACUUGCAUCACGAUCAGAAGAAUCUAACAGAACGGUAUGGGAAGGCCGGCCACAGAGGGUGAGAGCCCCGUACGUGAAAGAGGAAGCUGACAGCGAGUAUCCAGAGUACCGCGGGACACGUGAAACCCCGCGGGAAAACGGGUGGACCACCAUCCAAGCCUAAAUACUACCUGAUGACCGAUAGAGGAGCAGUACCGUGAGGGAAAGGUGAAAAGGACCCCGGGAGGGGAGUGAAAGAGAACCUGAAACCUUGUGCUUACAAGCACUCAAAGCACGUUAAAGUGUGAUGAGGUACUUUUUGUAGAACGGUCCGGCGAGUUAUAGUAACGAGCAAGCUUAAGGUAUUCAGUACCGGAGGCGAAGCGAGAGCGAGUCUGAAUAGGGCGCAUAAAGUUCGUUGCCAUAGACCCGAAACCGGGUGACCUAACCAUGAGCAGGCUGAAGUGAGAGUAAAAUCUCAUGGAGGGCCGAACGCACGUUCGUUGCAAUGACCGGCGAUGACUUGUGGUUAGCGGAGAAAUUCCAAUCGAACUCGGAGAUAGCUGGUUCUCCCCGAAAUAGCUUUAGGGCUAGCGUUAUCUUAGAUUACCGGAGGUAAAGCACUGAAUGGGCUAGGGGGCGAUAAGCUUACUGAACCCUAUCAAACUCUGAAUGCCGGAUAAUUGAUGGAUAGCAGUCAGACAGUGUGAGAUAAGUUUCAUUGUCAAAAGGGAAACAGCCCAGACCCACAGCUAAGGUCCCAAAUGUAUGCUAAGUGGAAAACGAUGUGGAGUUGCGAAAACAACCAGGAUGUUGGCUUAGAAGCAGCCACUCAUUAAAAGAGUGCGUAAUAGCUCACUGGUCGAGUGACUCUGCGCCGAAAAUUUAACGGGGCUAAACUAUACACCGAAGCUUGGGAUACAUCUAAUGUAUGGUAGGAGAGCGUUCUGUAUGGGGAGAAGUCGUAGCGAAAGCGGCGGUGGACUAUACAGAAGUGAGAAUGCCGGAAUAAGUAGCGAGAAUUAAGUGAGAAUCUUAAUGGCCGAAAGUCUAAGGUUUUUGGAGGAAGGUUCGUCCGCUCCAAGUAAGUCGGGAGCUAAGGUCAGGCCGAAAGGCGUAGCCGAUGCACAUACGGUUGAUAUUCCGUAACCAUCUGUAAUUUAAGCAAAGGGACACUUCAAAAGGGUGUGACCCGGGCGUUGGUUGACCCGGGCGUAAGGGACCGAAAUUAGAGUAGGGAAGCACACUUGGCUGAAGGCGAGAAAAGCUUUGCGUAUAGAAACAGAUGCCCGUACCGCAAACCGACACAGGUGGACAGGAAGAGAAUUCUAAGGCCAGCGGGAGAAGGGUAGUUAAGGAACUCGGCAAAUUGACUCCGUAACUUCGGAAUAAGGAGUGCUCGAAAGAGCCGCAGAGAAUAGGCCCAGGCGACUGUUUAGCAAAAACACAGGUCUCUGCCAAAUCGAAAGAUGAAGUAUAGGGGCUGACACCUGCCCGGUGCCGGAAGGUUAAGAGGAGGAGUGAGAGCUCCGAAUUGAAGCCCCGGUAAACGGCGGCCGUAACUAUAACGGUCCUAAGGUAGCGAAAUUCCUUGUCAGGUAAGUUCUGACCCGCAUGAAAGGCGUAAUGAUUUGGGCACUGUCUCAACAGCCCGCCCGGCGAAAUUGUAGUACCGGUGAAGAUGCCGGUUACCCGCGACAAGACGGAAAGACCCCAUGGAGCUUUACUGUAGCCUAAUAUUGGGUUUCGAUGUUGCAUGCACAGGAUAGAUGGGACACAGGGAAACAAGUGCUUUGGCAUUUGUGGAGUGGCCGUUGGGAUACCAUCCUUGCGAUAUUGGAAUUCUAACCUGCGCCUUUGAAUCAAGGCGGGGGACAUUGUUAGGUGGGCAGUUUGACUGGGGCGGUCGCCUCCUAAAGAGUAACGGAGGCGUUCAAAGGUUCGCUCAGCUUGAACGGAAAUCAAGCAAAAGAGUGCAAACGCAGAAGCGAGCCUAACUGCGAGACUGACGGGUCGAGCAGUAACGAAAGUUGGAGUUAGUGAUCCGGUGGUAUGUGAGUGGAAAUGCCAUCGCUCAACGGAUAAAAGUUACCCUGGGGAUAACAGGCUGAUCUCCCCCAAGAGUCCACAUCGACGGGGA
This 2406-nucleotide ribosomal RNA is filed under the name human gut metagenome. Its description in RNAcentral is "bacterial LSU rRNA". It matches the Rfam family "Bacterial large subunit ribosomal RNA", at positions 14 to 2514 of the family's 2925-position model. The record is from RNAcentral.